GUCCUCUCCCCCGCGGUUCCCUUCAACGUCGCCUCCCUAGAGAUCCGCCGCUUCUCUGCCCUCUGCUCGUCGAUUCGGCGCCUCCUCUCCUUCACGCGCCCACGCUGCCGUCGCCUCCUCCUCACUGUCGUCCAUGCCGUGUAGCCGCCUACGGCCAUGGCCGCUGGAGCCAGCGACUAUUUGACGGUGGAGUACCACUCCAGAGACUCCCCUCUUUCCCCUCCGACGACGAGGGAGCCACCGGCGGCAGCGGCGUCCUCGUACACCACGGUGGGCACGGUGGGCGAUCUUCUCAUGAAGUGGUGGUAGUGCCUCGUGGACGUCGACGGAGACGCGGCGUGCCUGCCCCUCGUCCUCCUGCUCCUUGUCUUCUCCGCCGCCCCGUCUCCUGCUCACGGCUGCGACCGCUGCGUGCGCCGGUCCAGGGCCACCUAUUACCAGGCCUCCUCGCUCGCCCUCAACGGUACCCCUGCCUUGUGGGGUCGUCCAACUGGCGGUUCAUGUCGCGGGACCACGGGCCGGCGUGGAGCACGGCGCAGGCGCCGCUGUAGUUCCGGCUGGUGGUGACCGGUGGCUACGACGGCAAGUGGGUGUGGGCGGAGUCGGAGGUGCUGCCGCGCCGGUGGGAGGCCGGCCGCGUCUAUGACGCCGGGGUGCAGGUCUCCGACGUCGCGCAGGAAGGGUGCUACCUCUGCGACACGCGCAAGUGGCAGUGAUGCUCGCACGAGCUGGAUUGUACAGUUUUUUGUUUUGGUCGGGAAUGGGACGAAAGAUAUGAAAUGAUGAUUAGCGGAGCCGGAGAGCCGAAUCAAAUCUAUUAACCGGUGGCGCUGGAAGGGAGUUUUUUGGAACCUAAGAUGUCGUUGAAGAACAUCCCGUUACUCCACGCCGGACUUGCCGCGCGCCGCAUGCAAGGUGCUCGACGGUUUGCUGCUGCACUGGGCAGGCAUGGCAGCAGGCCGGGGCUACUGGGAGGACAGGUGCGCCGGAUGUUCUCGCCGGAGACCACCGUCCCGGAGCCGCUGCCCAACCCAGACUACUCCUUCACGUUGAAGUACAUCGUCGGUGUCCUCCGACCUGGCAGCAUCUCGGGUUGCUGCAGUUGAUCGCCGUGCCGCGAGGAUGACGUCGUCGGUGUCCUCCGAUGACAAGGAGGAUGACGUCGGCGGCUCCGGCUCCGCGAAGGCCUCAAGGCCUGCAGCAGACUUCCGCCUCUCGUCCAUGGCGGCCUCUACGGCCUGCAUUGAGAGCUUCACAAACCUCAUCUCCAUCCCAAUCUCAUUUGUGCUACUCGCAUCGUUCUUCGGUUUCUUUCUUUGGAGGAACAAGAUGGACGACACACACGAGGUUGGCUGAUGACGCUCGACAUACGAGAGCAACAAGAUGCGCGAAGAGCAAGCUGCGACGCGUGCUACUGUGCCAGUCGCCCACUGCCUGCUCUGCGGAGUUCACCAUGGAGGUUGGCGACGAACUCGUGAGGUUGGACAAACAACGUCGGGUCCGACGGUGGAGGAUCCAUUUCCGACGAGGUAGAGCCGGGAGCCGGCAACUGGGAGUGAAACACAGAGGAAUGGAAGAGCCGUUUUGCUCCAUGGUUACGGUUGAUGCCUGUUUAGAGUUGUUAAAAUUGGAGAGGAUAGCAAAAGAACAAAGAGCCAGCUGUUAUAAUACUACUAUUCUAAUUACAAGUUUGGGAAUACUAUUUUUAAGAAGCCCAGAGAUUGGGACACCACGGUUCCAAAAAACUCGCUGGAAGGGUGCUGCCGUCGAUUCCUCUACCGGUGGCGCUGGAACACAAGUAACCGGCAGUUGCCGACCAUUACCAAGAUCUCUAAAGGGCUCAGAUUAAUUAGAUAAUCCAGCAUAAGCACAAAACGUUAAUCUCAAAUCUAUUAGCAGAUAUA
This is an RNA transcript of Zea mays, 1904 nucleotides long. RefSeq lists it as uncharacterized. The transcript has 2 exons. NCBI's taxonomy places the organism in Eukaryota, Viridiplantae, Streptophyta, Magnoliopsida, Poales, Poaceae. The record is from RefSeq and is marked validated.